GGCUUUGGUUCUAGUGAACUGACACCAUUUCCUGCUCCCAUCCUGCAUAGCUGUAAGGCGAUGGGAGCUGUUGAAGCUGAGGAGUUUGUGGUCCCUUGUCACCGCAGCGCCUGGCGAGCUGCUGAAGAGAUGCUGAGAGCCAGAUGCCUUGAACCCCAGCCCUUGAGGUCCUGCACAUGAAGUCCUCCCUGGCUGCCAUCAUGAAUAUAUCUGGAUGGUUGGGUUAAGAUGGCUUCAGGAUUCAUUUCUAUUCUACAAGGGCCUCAUUCUUCAGCUGUUAGUACGGGAUGAUCUUCAUGGUUACAGCAGAGGAACAGGAGAAAGAGCAGAAACCAGAAACUCUGCAAAAAGAAGUGGCAGAGUCUAAGUCCCCUCUUCCGCCCACUAAUGAAUCACUUCAUGCAAAUCACCUGGUAGUCCGUGUGAGGGAGGGAUGGCCUUAGGCUGGCAGGCUUCCUCGUGCCCGGUAAUGCAAUGACAUUAUUCGGACUACAGGGUUUUCCUGGACUAUGCUCUGCUUAGUGAAUGUCUCUCUGUCAUCUGACGACUUGCCUCAUAGCAAGGCCUGGAUGUUUUUUUGUGAGGGAGAGAGGAACUGCAUUCACUUCUCUUGGCACUGACUACUGCCCAUUAGCUCAUUUUUCCCUCACAUCAACCUGGUAAAGUCGGGAAUGGGUGGUUUUCUGGUCUUGCCGUACGGCCCUGUUAAUUGUUAUGCUUAAAACAUAGCUGUUUAUAUUUGAUGCCCAAGCCAGAACCUGCUCUUAGGGACACUUAAGCUGUAAACAUGUAUUUCUCCCUCCUGAACCCUAUGUUUCUAUGCUGAUAUGCAAAAAAACCAAAACCCCCAAAGAACAACAAUAAAAACAACAAGAACA
Long non-coding RNA from Meriones unguiculatus (Mongolian gerbil), 878 nucleotides. RefSeq lists it as uncharacterized. The record is from RefSeq and is a predicted model, not a curated record. The transcript is spliced from 3 exons. NCBI's taxonomy places the organism in Eukaryota, Metazoa, Chordata, Mammalia, Rodentia, Muridae.